Molecule: ribosomal RNA, 407 nt
Filed under: uncultured bacterium
Lineage: Bacteria
Description: partial 16S ribosomal RNA
Rfam family: Bacterial small subunit ribosomal RNA
Source: RNAcentral
GACGAACGCUGGCGGCGUGCCUAAUACAUGCAAGUAGGACGCAGUUGCGAACGGGUGAGUAAAGCGUCGGUCACUGCCUAUUAGAGGGGGCUAACUAUUGGAAACGAUUGCUUAUACCGCAUAUUAGUAGAUGGAACUGCGUUGUAUUAGCUAUUCGGUAGGGUCAUGGCCUACCUAGGCGACGAUACGUAGCCGACCUGGGAGGUUGAUCGGCCACACUGGGACUGAGACACGGCCCAGACUCCUACGGGAGGCAGCAGUGGGGAAUCUUCGGCAAUGGGGGGAAGCCUGACCGAGCAACGCCGCGUGAGUGAAGAAGGUUUUCGGAUCGUAAAGCUCUGUUGUUAAGGAAGCGGUACCUAACCAGAAAGGGACGGCUAACUACGUGCCAGUAGCCGCGGUAAUAC